This 240-nucleotide ribosomal RNA is filed under the name uncultured soil bacterium. RNAcentral describes it as "partial 16S ribosomal RNA". It matches the Rfam family "Bacterial small subunit ribosomal RNA", at positions 26 to 276 of the family's 1533-position model. The record is from RNAcentral.
AGAUUGAACGCUGGCGGCAUGCCUAACACAUGCAAGUCGAACGGGAGUAGCAAUACUCUAGUGGCGGACGGGUGAGGAAUACGUAGGAAUUUGCCCUUAAGUGGGGGAUAACCCGGGGAAACCCGGAUUAAUACCGCAUGACCUCGAAAGAGCAAAGUGGGGGAUCGCAAGACCUCACGUCUUUUGGAGAAGCCUACGUCGGAUUAGCUAGUUGGUGAGGUGAUGGCUCACCGAAGGCGA